CUACGGGAGGCUGCAGUGGGGAAUAUUGGACAAUGGGCGAAAGCCUGAUCCAGCCAUGCCGCGUGUGUGAAGAAGGCCUUCGGGUUGUAAAGCACUUUCAGUGGGGAAGAAAGCCUUGGGGCUAAUACCCUCGAGGAAGGACAUCACCCACAGAAGAAGCACCGGCUAACUCCGUGCCAGCAGCCGCGGUAAUACGGAGGGUGCGAGCGUUAAUCGGAAUUACUGGGCGUAAAGCGCGCGUAGGCGGUCUGAUAAGCCGGUUGUGAAAGCCCCGGGCUCAACCUGGGAACGGCAUCCGGAACUGUCAGGAUAGAGUGCAGGAGAGGAAGGUAGAAUUCCCGGUGUAGCGGUGAAAUGCGUAGAGAUCGGGAGGAAUACCAGUGGCGAAGGCGGCCUUCUGGACUGACACUGACGCUGAGGUGCGAAAGCGUGGGUAGCAAACAGGAUUAGAUACCCUAGUAGUC
RNAcentral lists this ribosomal RNA (464 nucleotides) under Vreelandella stevensii. RNAcentral describes it as "partial 16S ribosomal RNA". It matches the Rfam family "Bacterial small subunit ribosomal RNA", at positions 339 to 795 of the family's 1533-position model. The record is from RNAcentral. Lineage: Bacteria; Pseudomonadati; Pseudomonadota; Gammaproteobacteria; Oceanospirillales; Halomonadaceae.